CUGUAAAACAACUGGUUAUGCCCCCAUCAGACAGAACGGGCAGGUGCCCAGGCACCCUUGCCAGCCCCACCCCACUGUAAAAGGUCUGGUUACUCCUCCAUAGGACAGAAGGGGCAGGUGCACAGGCACCCUUGCCACCCCCACCCCACUGAAAAAGGUCUGGUUCUCCCCCGUCGGACAAAAAGGGCAGCUACCCAGACACCCUUGCCACCCCCACCCGACUGUAAAAGAUCUGGUAAUGCCCACGUCAGACAGAACGGGCAGGUGCCCAGGCACCCUUGCCACCCCCACCCCACUGUAAAAGUUUGGUUACUCCCCCAUAGGACAGAAGGGGCAGGUGCACAGGCACCCUUGCCACCCCCACCCCACUGAAAAAGGUCUGGUUCUCCCCCGUCGGACAAAAAGGGCAGCUACCCAGACACCCUUGCCACCCGCACCCCACUGUAAAAGGUCUGGUUAUGCCCCCGUCAGACAGAACGGGCAGGUGCCCAGGCAGCCUUGCCACCCCCACCCCACUGUAAAAGGUCUGGUUAUGCCCCCGUCAGACAGAACGGGCAGGUGCCCAGGCACCCUUGCCACCCCCACCCCACUGUAAAAGGUCUGGUUACUCCCCCAUAGGGCAGAAGGGGCAGGUGCCCAGACAACCUUGCCACCCCCAACCCACUAUAAAAGGUCUGGUUAUGCCACCGUCAGAUAAAGGACAGAUGCACAGACCCUCUUGCCACCCCCACCCCACUGUAAAAGACCUGGUUAUGCCUCCGUCAGACAACGGGCAGGUGCCCAGGCACCCUUGCAACCCCCCACCCCACUGCAAAAGGUCUGGUUAUGCCACCGUCAGAUAAAGGACAGAUGCACAGACCCUCUUGCCACCUCCACCCCACUGUAAAAGGUCUCGUUAUACCCCCGUCAGACAGAACGGGCAGGUGCCCAGGCAGCCUUACCGCUCCCACCCUACUGUAAUAGAUCUGGUUAUGCCCACGUCAGACAGAAGAGGCAGGUGCCCAGGCACCCUUACCAUCCCCA
Molecule: long non-coding RNA, 1023 nt
Organism: Brienomyrus brachyistius
Lineage: Eukaryota; Metazoa; Chordata; Actinopteri; Osteoglossiformes; Mormyridae
Exons: 5
Source: RefSeq, a predicted model, not a curated record